UACGGAGGGAGCUAGCGUUGUUCGGAUUUACUGGGCGUAAAGCGCACGUAGGCGGCGCCGUAAGUCAGGGGUGAAAUCCCGGAGCUCAACUCCGGAACUGCCCUUGAAACUGCAGUGCUAGAAUUCUGGAGAGGCGAGUGGAAUUCCGAGUGUAGAGGUGAAAUUCGUAGAUAUUCGGAAGAACACCAGUGGCGAAGGCGACUCGCUGGACAGACAUUGACGCUGAGGUGCGAAAGCGUGGGGAGCAAACAGG
This 253-nucleotide ribosomal RNA is filed under the name uncultured bacterium. RNAcentral's name for it is "partial 16S ribosomal RNA". It matches the Rfam family "Bacterial small subunit ribosomal RNA", at positions 524 to 776 of the family's 1533-position model. The record is from RNAcentral.